AACCACGGAUCCAUGUGUGAGGAACGAAUCGGGGUGAAAAGGGUUAUGAAAUUACCUAAUGCUGUUCUGAGUAGACAGCAACUUCUCAACAACGUGUAGUCUGAUCUACAGUCGAACUAAGCCGCAAUCUAUCGAGACUCCGACCUCUACGUGAUCCACCCAGUUGACUACGAACGGAAGAAAUCCCCAAAACAGUUUUGAGAGUGAAUUUUCUUUGACGGCUGCUAGAC
Molecule: long non-coding RNA, 230 nt
Filed under: Gossypium barbadense (sea-island cotton)
Lineage: Eukaryota; Viridiplantae; Streptophyta; Magnoliopsida; Malvales; Malvaceae
Description: long non-coding RNA (GBAR_LNC021686)
Source: RNAcentral